CCUACGGGUGGCAGCAGUGGGGAAUAUUGGGCAAUGGGGAAACCCUGAUCCAGCGACGCCGCGUGAGGGAAGAAGUAUUUCGGUACGGAAAGCUCUAUCAGCAGGAAAGAAAAUGACGCUACCUGACUAAGAAGCCCCGUCGAACUACGUGCCAGCAGCCGCGGUAAUACGUAGGGGGCAAGCGUUAAUCGGAUGUACUGGGUGUAAAGGGAGCGUAGACGGCAGCGCAAGUCAGGAGUGAAAUGCCGGGGCCCAACCCGGGAACUGCCUUGGAAACUGGGAAGCUGGAGUGCAGGAGAGGUAAGCGGAAUUCCAGGUGUAGCAGUGAAAUGCGUAGAUAUCAGGAGGAACACCGGUUGCGAAGGCGACAAUCCGGCGCCCAACUGACGCUGAAGAGCGAAAGCGUGGGUAUCGAACAGGAUUAGAUACCCGAGUAGUC
This 439-nucleotide ribosomal RNA is filed under the name uncultured bacterium. RNAcentral's name for it is "partial 16S ribosomal RNA". It matches the Rfam family "Bacterial small subunit ribosomal RNA", at positions 338 to 795 of the family's 1533-position model. The record is from RNAcentral.